CUAAUUACAAAUCUUGCACCAAAAGCCAUUUGAAGCCCCAAUUUGGUCAGAUCUGCUCCCCAUCUGCUUCGUUGCGUUGCAGCGGGAACAACAAGAUUCCGCCAUUAAAAUCUCUUCCGGUAUGCUCCUCCUUUCUGUAUGAUUCUCACAGAGAUUUAUGUUUUCUUCUGUUUCUUUCACAAACUCACUCAUACUAACAUGUAAAAUUGUCACUUUAACAGCACUCCAUUUUCACUUUCUUAGAUUGAUCGUCCAUUUUCACUUUAGUGUUACUUUUAUCGUUUUUUCCUUCAAAGUUGUGUGAGUAAUUACUGUGGAAAGGUGUUAUGAUCUCCUUGUUGAUGUUAUGGUGUUCGCUUUUAAGCGCUAUGUACAGUGGGUCCAUAACUCUAACUAGAUUAUUAUCCAAAUUGAAAAUUACUCUUUAAUUUCCUAACAAGUUAUGAAGGCUGUUCUUUUCCCAUUUCUAUUAGAUUUUUUUUUUCCAUUUUUUGUUCAAAAUAUAAUUUUGAUGUUUAUUUUUGUUUGUUUAUCAGGGUCAUUGGACAAGAAUCACAGAACCAGUUGGUGGUAGGCUAUCAUAUAAACCCCCAGUUAUGACAUCAAUUCACCAAAUCUUUAUACUCCAUUAAUGGCUUCAGUCCUAUAUUGUUCUUGCUGGCUUCUCACUGAGUCUUCAAGGGAAGUAACUAUCAUCAAUUCAUCAUGCUUUGUUCUAUGUAUGUAUAUGCGUAUGUUUGUAUGUGUAUAUAAUAUGUAUAUAGUUAUAUAUUUUUUUAUUGCAUUCAGGACAUGGAAAGCUCCAAACUCUGAGAAAAACUAGAGAGAAAAAAACCAACUAUAUAACAAAUUGUUACAAUCACAUGGACUAAUCAUCCACCUUCCUCCGAUUACGCCCAUAUUCUCCAAAGAUUUGAGUAACACUUUUCUAUGUUGGUCUAUAUUUGUCAAGCAUUGUACUUGUUUGUUGAUUCCGGGUCUAUGGUUCUUUGAGGUAGGUGGUAUGAUAGGUUGUACAAUGUUUAGCCUGUGAAUUAGGUUUGUGGGUGGGACAAAUUUUGCAAAUUUUUGUCCCAUUUGAGGAUUUACUAUCUUGUACAUGUGUAAAAGACGUAAAUACCCUUCUUGUCUUCGUUAUGUUUGGGAGUUGUUUUUUUUAAUGAGCUUAAUAGUUUAAGCACUUAAUCUGAACAACUAUAUAUGGAUGUUUCUUUUUUAAUCCAGACCGGAUGUCUUAACGGGUUAAGCAAAAAAAAAAACAUGACUUAGUCGGUUAAGAGGUUAAGUCGUUAAUACUUGAUCUAUUUGUCCUUCCCAAUUCCUCUCAUGUUAAAAGUGACCGGAUAUUGUUAAGACUAAUGAAUAUUUGAAAUUUAUAUUUUUAAA
This 1386-nucleotide long non-coding RNA is filed under the name Lactuca sativa (garden lettuce). RNAcentral's name for it is "long non-coding RNA (LSAT_LNC006137)". Lineage: Eukaryota; Viridiplantae; Streptophyta; Magnoliopsida; Asterales; Asteraceae. The record is from RNAcentral.